Molecule: transfer RNA, 64 nt
Filed under: Phelipanche cilicica
Lineage: Eukaryota; Viridiplantae; Streptophyta; Magnoliopsida; Lamiales; Orobanchaceae
Also listed under: 1 other name
Description: partial tRNA-Leu
Rfam family: tRNA
About the family: Transfer RNA (tRNA) molecules are approximately 80 nucleotides in length. Their secondary structure includes four short double-helical elements and three loops (D, anti-codon, and T loops).
Source: RNAcentral
UGCGCUACGGACUUAAAAUCCGUCGACUUUAAAAAUCAUGAGGGUUCAAGUCCCUCUAUCCCCA